AUUUUUUAAUUCUCUAAUGAAUUGUGUGUUUUUUUGUAGUAAACUAGGCAGUAAAUCACAUAGGCAAUCAGUUUUGCAAAAGGGCCUUCAAGCAAACACAGGGAGAAGGCCAGGGAGGCAGGCAGUUUGGUUACUACCAGCAAUUCUAUGCUGAGCUCUUACUGCCUAUUUUCUUGCACUGCUCCGACCUUGAUGCUCCACCAGGGCUCACAUACCUGGAGGCCGCCCCACCCACUCCUGCCAGGCACCACCAGCCCUUCGUCCUCCUACUCUGUGUCCCCCACGCUGCACAAGCCAUCUCUGCCCUGCUGCUACCCAAAGCACACCCAGCAGACAACUAGCAUGUUUGGAGGCUGUGCAGCUGGCUCAAGCCCAGGCUUGGAAGGACUGCUUGGUGUCAGAUCCCCGACAUCAUGGAGCGAUGGGCCCCAGACAAUUCCCACAGCCCCAGUUUCAACUUUUCAUCGGCCAUUGCCCUGAUGAUAGCAGAGUCUGGCGAGAUGAAGAUGUACGUUAUGUGCCCGACGCACACUAAGAUCGUAUAAGUCUCAGCUUCAGAAUGGUCACAGUAGUUUGGUGCUAUGCUUUAUAAAAGCCUAAUUUCUCAAGAAUUUGACCAUAUCUCUGUAAUUGAAAGGCUUUUGCUAAUAACAUUAAGUAUGAAAUAGUAGGAGCCAAUUGAAGCUCAUAUCGCUUAACAAAGGUCAAAGAAGCAAAUCAUUUUAAUUGAAUACGCAAAUUAUAUGAAGUGUCUAGAUGUCAAGAAAGUUGAAAGCAAAGAUGCAAGUUGGGUAAGUCAUUCUAGAAAUCAAAUGAGAUAUGUCUAAUUAAUUAAUUGUAGUUGGAGGGCUCUAAAGCAGCAGAGGGAGCAUUCCCACCUGCACUGGGAAUUGCAGCCUAACAAACAGGGAUAUGACAUGAAACUAUAAAUGAACACUUGCAGACUGAGGAUUAUUUGAGCUCUGAAGGGGCACUGCUGUUUACUACAGAUCCAGCCAUUUUCAGAUAGCUUCAGGCACUGCACUUCUACAUUCCAGCUAUUUAUUUUCUGAUUUCACAAUCUUUACGGUUUC
Molecule: long non-coding RNA, 1073 nt
Filed under: Numida meleagris (helmeted guineafowl)
Lineage: Eukaryota; Metazoa; Chordata; Aves; Galliformes; Numididae
Description: lncRNA (ENSNMEG00000014001.1)
Source: RNAcentral